RNAcentral lists this long non-coding RNA (721 nucleotides) under Gallus gallus (chicken). Its description in RNAcentral is "long non-coding RNA NONGGAT009219". The record is from RNAcentral. Lineage: Eukaryota; Metazoa; Chordata; Aves; Galliformes; Phasianidae.
UUCACAUAGAUGAAAAUGGACACAAAGAAGCUGGAUUGUGUCUUAAGGUGAAGAAAGAUGCAGCAGCAACUUUGUGAUGGUGCUCCUGGAGAGCAGCGCGGUGCAGCUGGGCUGUGGGGACCACCAGCAUCCCUGCCUCUGCAUCACCCCAUCCAGCACUGGGAAGCACUUCUGUAGGCGUGGAGGUUUCCAUCUUCCAGGCUGUUUGGGCAUGGAGUGCUCCAACAAGGUCACUGACUUGCCCUGUUAUUCUGAAGGUCUCCAUAUCCAUGUGACAUGUGCAUUCCAUGUGAACUAUCUACAGACAUUAGAGAUUUACACUUUUUGUAGACCUUUGAGGAUGCAAAUCCUACAAGUUGCACUUUAAAGAUCUUCUGCUUGGCGUCACAGCCCCAUCCGUGCCAUCUGGAGGAGCGGAGCAGCCCCGAGCUGGCUGAUGGAGACAAGCUGAAACCAGACGUAUAUCUGUGGAGAUCUAUUCUUCUGAAGCACGGACAGAUUUCCUGAGCGCCACCAUUCCAAAGGCAGGCACAGGGAUGCAGCACCAGGCACCAAAGCAUUGUCCAGCCCAUCAGCACAAAGUGACAUGAGAGGGUGUCUGGACUAAAGUAUAGGCAAGAGAAGCUAAACUAAGCCCUACUAAGCAGAGCAACGUCCCAGUCCUGCAAGAAGCUGGUGCUGAAGUGCAAAAGGGUCUGCAAAAACUGAAGACAAAGGAAGC